RNAcentral lists this ribosomal RNA (935 nucleotides) under uncultured bacterium. Its description in RNAcentral is "bacterial SSU rRNA". It matches the Rfam family "Bacterial small subunit ribosomal RNA", at positions 8 to 974 of the family's 1533-position model. The record is from RNAcentral.
AGAGUUUGAUCCUGGCUCAGGACGAACGCUGGCGGCGUGCCUAAUGCAUGCAAGUCGCACGCACCGCUCUUCGGAGUGGUGAGUGGCGCACGGCUGAGGAACACGUGGAUACCUGCCCGCGCGUGGGGGAAAACGCAGCGAAAGCCGCGCUAAUCCCGCAUACGGUUCCAGUCUUGACUGGAAAGAAAGCUGAGGCGCGCGCGGAGGGGUCUGCGGCCCAUCAGGUAGUCGGCGGGGUAACGGCCCACCGAGCCGAUGACGGGUAGCUGGUCUGUGAGGACAGACAGCCAGACUGGGACUGAGACACGGCCAGACUCCUACGGGAGGCAGCAGCAAGGAAUUUUCCCCAAUGGGCGCAAGCCUGAGGGAGCAACGCCGCGUGGAGGACGACGGCCUUCGGGUUGUAGACUCCUUUUGGGGGGGACGAUGGUGACGGUACCCCCCGAAUCAGCCCCGGCUAACUCUGUGCCAGCAGCCGCGGUAAGACAGAGGGGGCAAGCGUUGUCCGGACUGACUGGGCGUAAAGCGCGCGCAGGCGGUGCGAGGCGUCGGUGCUGAAAGUCCACCGCUUAACGGUGGGAUGUGCGCCGAUACGCUCACGCUGGAGGGCGGGCGAGGGUGGUGGAAUUGCCGGUGUAGUGGUGAAAUGCGUAGAGAUCGGCAGGAACACCAGUGGCGAAAGCGGCCACCUAGCCCGCACCUGACGCUGAGCGCGACAGCGUGGGGAGCGAACUGGAUUAGAUACCCAGGUAGUCCACGCCGUAAACGAUGCCGACUCGGUCCUCGUGGGGCGAAUAGCCCUGGGGGGGCCCGAGCUCACGCGCUGAGUCGGCCGCCUGGGGACUACGAGCGCAAGCUUAAAACUCAAGAAUUGACGGGGGCCCGGACAGCAGCGGAGCGUGUGUUUAAUUCGACGCAACGCGCAGAACCCUUAC